GAUGAAGAACGCAGCGAAAUGCGAUAAGUAAUGCGAAUUGCAGAAUUUCCGUGAAUCAUCGAAUCUUUGAACGCACAUUGCGCCCGGUAGUAUUCUGCCGGGCAUGCCUGUUCGAGCGUCAUUUCAACCAUCAAGCCCCAGCGCUUGUGUUGGGGGCCUGCGGCUGCCGCAGCCCCCCAAAAGCAGUGGCGGGCUCGCUAUCACACCGAGUGCAGUAGUUCAUCUUCUCUCCGGUCUUGUGAGGCGGGUUCCGGCCGUGAAACACCCCACUACAUUCAAGGUUGACCUCGGAUCAGGUAGGAAUACCCGCUGAACUUAAGCAUAUCAAUAAGCGGAGGA
Molecule: unclassified non-coding RNA, 339 nt
Filed under: soil metagenome
Description: partial contains 5.8S ribosomal RNA, internal transcribed spacer 2, and large subunit ribosomal RNA
Rfam family: 5.8S ribosomal RNA (bases 1-121)
Source: RNAcentral